CCGUUUCUUGCGGCGGCGGGAAAGCAUCCGCUAGCUCUGGGAUGAAGCGCCACUAAUCCUGCAUCCCCAGACAGCAUCCCUUUCCUAGUCGAGGUAACUAAAACCAAUCAGUAAAAAAGUGGGCGGUGCCUACUGCUGAGAGGAUUCAGUCUCUGUUCCGACAGCCGUUCCGGCCCGGCAGCUCUCCUGCUCUCGGGCUGCGAGGGGGGAGCGGUGGCGUGGACUCAGAGCGCUCGGGGCUCUCCACCUGGUUCUGGCACAGGAGAGGCACCGGGUUCUGGAGAAAAGAACACGCGGUUGAGUUAGACCUGGUUGUUAUUCAGGUCUCUGUAUGGGGAACAGCCACAGAUCACAAGGGUGGAAUGAAGAUGGCUAAUCGGGAGUGUCGACUGAAAAAAUGCACAACCUAAAAGUUGGCAAUUAUGUUUUAUUCAGCGGACAUACUGAGGACUUAAGCCCGGAGACAGCCUCUCACGUAGCUCUGAGGGAUUUCUCCAAAGAGGUCUCACCAAUUCUUGAGGCUGCCAAGUGGGGCUGCAGCAGGAUGCUGCCUUGUUGGGGUGCCGUGCGGCGUAGGAGCUGAGGAUGAGCUUGGCGUGCAGAGAGGCCCGCGUUGAACAGCCUGCCGUCACAGGCACACCACUUGAUCUCUUGGGGCCUCAGAUUUCCUCUUCGUAAAGAGGGUAAUGAUUUACAGCAUGGACGUUCCUGAGAGUUGGAGAUAUGGACAUAGACUCUUGGCACUUAAUAGGUGCUAAAAAUGGCAGCUUGUGAACUUGAGUGGCGGCCGGCACCUUCUCCAGGAACGCACUCCCUGCCCUGUCUGGGGGACAUCCCCCCUCAGUGGCCCCUGGGUGCCCUCAUCGCUACCCUCAAGCCCCUGUUGGGCAUCACUUACUUGCUGGCACGCCCACCAGCUGGGAGAUGGUGCAUGGCAGGCAGGUGCAAGAUCGUCUGCCACAGUGCCAGGCACCUGGUACGUGCUCAGAUGGACACGUGGGUCAGAUGUGACUCCUGACGUGGGGGCUGUGAGACCAGCGUAAAAUGGACGAGAAGGUUGCCCUCAAGUCUUCUAAGAGAUGGUCAGUGAAUGAAGUUGGGGGGAAAGCACUCCCUGAGUUUCUCUCAGGAGGACUUGAGUGCCAAGAUGCCAACCAAGAGACCAGAGCUCUGCCCCACCCAGUCAGAGCAGCGGGGCACCCACUCCAUCGCAGGAAGGGAGCUAGAGAAGACGGAGCUGCCCCCGCGGCGCCCACGGGCUGCGUGAGAGAACAAAUUAACCCGGCUUAGGAAGAGUUCUUUCAAUUAUGUCCCAGGGAGAGAAAAAGUAGGAAGAGGAGCCAGUGCUUGAAGCGCGGAGGAGCUGGCCGACCUCAGAGGCAGCCUCGUGUCUUCGGCGGGACGGCUGGAAGAGCUAUCGAACCCACUGCCAAACCCGGGGACGCUGAUGCAGCCCCUCCAGCCAGCCCGGGGACUGUGAUGCGGGACUAAAGCCCAGACAGAAGAGGAACCUGCUCAAGGUCGCCUACCCAGUAAGGAGCAGAGCUGGGAUUUGUCCACUUACACCCUUAGCACAGCACUGCCCCCAGAGGCUGGGGAAAACACAGCUCCUGACUCCCCAUGCCCGAUGCCGCACUUGGCAAAGACAGGAGUGGAAACCUCUUCUGGUUGAGGUUAUCAGGGAAAGCUUGCUAGAGAAAGAGGCAUGUGGGACAGGCCUUGAAGGCUGUGUAGGAUUUCAGCGGUCAGGGAUAAAUGAGGUACAGGGAGAAGCGGACAAAUGCACGAGAAAGGCCUGAGAAAGGCCUGUGCGGGGCAGUGAAUAAGCCCAGUAACGGGAGUCACAGGGGAACUGAUCAGGGAAGCGGUGGGCCAGAGUGGGAAGGGCUUGAGCGAUGCAGACACAGCAGAUCCGCUGUCGCAUCUGAGCUUCGCUCCCACUGCUGCCUGAGAUCUCUCGUGUCUGUGAACGGUGGCAGCUCCCGAAUUUCCACAGGAGGGUUGCCCUGGCCUCCACCUGCCCUUCAGCGCUGCCACUGUCUGUGGGGAGGGCUCUGUGCCCAGACUCACCCUAAACAAGGGCGGGUUCCUUGGCGCAUUCAGGGCCAGGCAGGCUGGGUUCAGAGGGGUCUGAGCGCCCGCGUGGGGUCAAGUUCCCCGCCUCUGCCUUCCUUCCCUCACUCCUUGUUGGGAGCUGGGGUGUGGACAGGUGUGUAGUGGCACAGGUAACAGCAAAGGUAAAAAAUAAAAGCCAGCUGUGUGUGGGCAAGUUGGGAAAAACGAGGAAGGUUAGAAAACGUGGUGUCCGGGGUCUGCACGGGGACCUGCUGAGGGCUGGGCGCGGCCUGGGUCCAGAUUUCCUGAAGAUGGAACUUCUGGGAGCAGGUGUGAUCCUGGACUGAUAACGUGGCGGGCAGUUCUGGGGGUGGAUGGGGCUCGGGCCAGCCCUGAGAAAUGUAACUCAGCUGUCUGUGCUUGAGGGGCGGUAGCGGACAAUAACCAGGAAUGGAAGAGAAGAGAGCCCUGGAAGCUCAUCUCCAGUCAUCUGGCGUCGACACCAUAGCCUUGUGUUGCCGUGGGCAGAAAACCUCUCGCUUUGAUGAACUUGUCAUAAAGUGAUAUUUUUUUUGUCUCCCAUCCUGUAUUAGUUUUCUAACUCUGCCAUAA
Long non-coding RNA from Delphinapterus leucas (beluga whale), 2667 nucleotides. RefSeq lists it as uncharacterized. The record is from RefSeq and is a predicted model, not a curated record. Lineage: Eukaryota; Metazoa; Chordata; Mammalia; Artiodactyla; Monodontidae.